Molecule: ribosomal RNA, 1361 nt
Filed under: Etisus dentatus
Lineage: Eukaryota; Metazoa; Arthropoda; Malacostraca; Decapoda; Xanthidae
Description: 16S ribosomal RNA
Rfam family: Archaeal large subunit ribosomal RNA (bases 648-1361)
Source: RNAcentral
GAAAUUUAGAUAGAUAUAAAUUAAAUUGAAAUUAUAAAUAUUGUUUAAGUUAAGAUUAUUUUUAUAGUAAGUUAAAAAAUCAAUUAUAUAGAAAGUAAAGGUUAUUGAAAUUUGAAUGGAACGAUAGAGUAAAAGUACUGUAAAGGAAAAGUGAAAGAGAGGAAGAAAUAUUUAUAGAAGUUUUUAAAAAGUGUACCUUGUGUAUCAGGGAAAAUUAAAAUUUAUUAAAUAAAAUAAAGAUCCCGAAAUAAAUAACAGCUAAUUUUAUAAAAAGUUCUUGUAGCAAAAAGAUUUUGAAUAUAAAAUUAAAGAUGAAAUAUCAGUCGAGUUUUAUUAUAUCUGGUUUUUUAAAAAAUGAAUUGAAUUCAGACUUAAAAAAGAAGAUGUUUUAAGUUUAAAGAGUAGAAGGGAAUAGCUUUUUAUUCAAAGAUUAAGUUAUAAUAGUUAGAUAAAAAAUAAAUUUUGUACUAGGCUUAGAAGUAGUCAUUAUAGUAAAGUGUUUAAACUAAGAUAAAUAGAAAAAUAAUUUAUUUUAACUUUAAUUAAUAUUAGGAAAUAAGUAGAAAUUUAAUUUGCUGAGAUAUAUUGGUUUUAUUAGUAGAGUGUAUUGUAUAUAAGAUAUUUAAAUUAUAUAAAAAAGUUUAAAAUUAUAUAGAUAUAAGAGAGGAACUCGGCAAAAAUAUUUCCUUGCCUGUUUAUCAAAAACAUGUCCAUUUGAAGAUGUAAAUGGUCUGACCUGCUCACUGAUAAAAUUAUUUAAGAGCCGCGGUAUACUGACCGUGCAAAGGUAGCAUAAUCAUUAGAGGUUUAAUUGGAAUCUGGAAUGAAGGGUUGGACAAAGGAACAACUAUCUUAAAUUAUAUAAGUUGAAAUUUACUUUUAAGUGAAAAGGCUUAAAUAUUUUAGGGGGACGAUAAGACCCUAUAAAGCUUUAUAGAUAAUUUAAAUUUAGUUGAAUUAAAUUAUAAAAAUUAAAUUUAAUUAUUCUAUUUUGUUGGGGUGAUAUGAGUAUAAGUAUUGUUAACUGCUUAAUAGUAAUUCUAUCAUAGUAGCAUUAAUAAAUUGAAUGAUCCUUUUUAAAGAUUAAAAGACUAAGUUACUUUAGGGAUAACAGCGUUAUUUUUCUUGAGAGUUCAUAUCGAAAGAAAAGAUUGCGACCUCGAUGUUGAAUUAAAAUAUCUAUAUAAUGCAGCAGUUAUAUAAGAGGGUCUGUUCGACCUUUAAAUUUUUACAUGAUUUGAGUUCAGACCGGCGUGAGCCAGGUCGGUUUCUAUCUCUUAAAAUAAAAAAAUUACUUUAGUACGAAAGGAUUAAGUGAAUUUAAAAGUUUUAAUUUAAUUGAAAUAGUACUAUUUUGGCAG